CCUCACAAAUUAGUAUAUAAACUAUAUUCAAUAACUUUCUAAAUGAAAGCUUUAACCUAAUAUAACAAAAUAUUUUUUUUGUUCUGUAAAAAUUCUUUAAUUUCACUAAUAGUUUAUUCCUCAAUAGGUUUCUAACUAAAAGGCUGGUAUGGCAAGCAAUAUUUAAAUUACUAUAAACAAUGUAAGAGACUGAAUAGGUUAUGUCAAUAUAAAUAACUACACUGUAAAAUGUUGCAAAAAAAAGUGUGUGUGUGUGUGUGUGGAGUCCACAUGCGACAGAAAUGAAACUUUUUGCAUAUGAGGUAUAGAUAAAUAUAAAUUUUUAGUAUUUUUUUAUUGAACAAGCAAUAAAAAUUGAGAAUAAUAAGGAUGUAGGUGUGAUCAGAAAUGAAAAAUAAAAAACAACCCUUUUUCCGCAUCCUGUACUGUUGCAUCCGUUCACAUGCACUUUUUAGGGGUUUAUUCCCAUGUCACCUUUGAUAACACCUCUUAUUUGCUUCUGCCUUUUUAUUAUUUUUAGUCAAGAUGUUAAAUCACAAUCUCCAGUUGAAUAAAAUGAAAGAACAAAAAAACCACUAUCGAACAUAAAUUACUAGAGACAUGCAUAUUUCGCAAUUGUGAUAAAACAAAUUUUUACGCGAAUUUGAGUAUAUUUUUUAAGAAUAACGUGAAUUUCUCACAUUUUUGAUAAUAACGUGAAAUCCUUGAAUUUUCGGCAAACAGUCAGAACAUUUUUCUCAUUCGAACACAGCAAUUCAAUUUGUAAAUACAGUAACAAACGUGAAACAACAAAAAACCAAAAAUAACUACGCACAGUGUAUAGCAAGUUGACGAACAAUACACAGCACACAAGUUUUCCGUUGCUGAAAUAAGUCGUUUGAUGGCACAGAUCAUAUUGAUCUUGAACAAAAUGGUGUUGUGAUCGCGCUCGCGAGCAAGCAGUCAUGUGUAUGUUCAAUAUAUUUUGAUAUUCGGCUCGCCUGGACAGUCGAUUAUCACGGAGUUUACAGCAGGUUGUUUCUCGAAGCGUUGUUUGUCCAUUACGUUCAUGUUUAUUAAAACCAAAUACCAAAUUUAAAAUGCAAACACGGUGACGAUUCGUAACAUUCUGUUGUGUGCAAGUUAAAGUUUAACGGGUCGAAUUUUGUUAGAGAUAGUUUUCAACGUCUGUGAAACAAAUUAGAGGUGUACAAUUUAAACUUCGGCUAAAACAUUAGGCCUAUUAAAAUGCCUAAAGUGCCGGUAACUGCAAAACAGCGAGCCUCUGAAUUUUCUCAACACGGACUUUAUGCUAGUGAUUCAACCACACUUUUUUGUCGUCACUGCAAUGUCACUGUCUCUUGGGAUAGGAAAGACUCAUGUGAAAAACACAAGAAGCGUGUCUUCAUUGCAAGGCUCAUCUAGUACGUCUGAAUGCCAGUCGUCAAUAUCUUCAGCGUUUCAGACAGCAAAAAAUAAUGUCCAAAAAGACAAAAAGUUGGAAUUUAUAAAGGAAACAACCGAGACCUUUAUAAAGGCAAAUAUACCCCUUGAAAAGCUUGAUGAUCCUAAUAUCAGGGCAUGGCUGAACAAAUACAUCGAAGGUGCUGGAGACCUGCCACUUGCGAGAACAGUCCGUGAGAAAUAUUUAGGGGACAUAGCCAAAUGCAGAAUUGAAGAUGCCAAAACUGCAUUAAAGGACAAAAAAAUUGACAUACUGUGCGACGAAACAACAGAUAAAAUGGGUAGGUGUGUAUUUUUUGUUUUAUUUAGAAUUCUGAAUCUUCGGCAGGAUAAAACAGAAAUAUUUGUUGCAGGAGUUUACUUUCUUGAAGCUGCUAAAGCCACAAACUGUGCGAGGGCAAUUUUAGAUUCACUCAAAAUGUAAAAUGUACAGUAUGGUGAUGUGCUCUCAGUAGUAACCGAUGCUGCUCAUUAUAUGACCAAGGCUGUUAGUAUUCUCGAAGUAAUCCUUGGAGACCAGUUAACGCAUGUCCAGUGCUGGGCAUAAGUUAAACCUUGUUGACAAUGUCUGGGUGAAAGAGUUGCCUGAGUUGAACAAUGCUAUGAGCAAAAUAAAAAAUGUGUUCAACAGCACCAGCGGGCUGAUUACGAGCACACACUUUGCGUUAUAAGUUGCGAUAAAUAACGAAGGUUUGCGAAGAAUAUCGCAGGAACCAGCAACGUGAUUACGAACACAUCGUGUUUCGUUAAACUUCGAAUAUUGAUGACGUUGUGGCGGUAUAUAUCGCAAACUUUGAUUACGAGCACACUUUUCAAGUGAUAUUUAUCGCACCGGAGCUACGUUAUAUAUCACGGGCAUUUCAAGUGGUGAUACGAAGCGAUUGUGAGGUUCUACACAAUGGCCUUUGCUGCCUUUCUGCUAAAUAUCGAACUGGAGGAGAAGGCAGAGAAGAUUGUUAAGAAACCAUCAAAAUCCCUUCGAAUUGCCAGAUUGCACCCUCAUAGCAGUUGGAAAACCUUAGAAAAUGAAGAAACAUGAAGAAACGAGCUAUGCAAUUUAAUAAAUACUUUGUUAUCAAGUUUGUUGCAUUUAUUAAAGAAAUUGUGAAAAUAA
This is a long non-coding RNA of Bacillus rossius redtenbacheri, 2557 nucleotides long. RefSeq lists it as uncharacterized. NCBI's taxonomy places the organism in Eukaryota, Metazoa, Arthropoda, Insecta, Phasmatodea, Bacillidae. The record is from RefSeq and is a predicted model, not a curated record. The transcript is spliced from 2 exons.